RNAcentral lists this ribosomal RNA (325 nucleotides) under uncultured bacterium. Its description in RNAcentral is "bacterial SSU rRNA". It matches the Rfam family "Bacterial small subunit ribosomal RNA", at positions 28 to 334 of the family's 1533-position model. The record is from RNAcentral.
GACGAACGCUGGCGGCGUGCCUAAUACAUGCAAGUCGAGCGAGCGGAACCAACAGAUUUACUUCGGUAAUGACGUUGGGAAAGCGAGCGGCGGAUGGGUGAGUAACGCGUGAGCAACCUGCCUUGGAGUGGGGAAUAACAGCUGGAAACAGUUGCUAAUACCGCAUAAUGCAGCGAGGGGGCAUCCUCUUGCUGCCAAAGAUUUAUCGCUCUGAGAUGGACUCGCGUCUGAUUAGCUGGUUGGCGGGGUAACGGCCCACCAAGGCGACGAUCAGUAGCCGGACUGAGAGGUUGACCGGCCACAUUGGGACUGAGAUACGGCCCAG